This 492-nucleotide ribosomal RNA is filed under the name uncultured bacterium. Its description in RNAcentral is "partial 16S ribosomal RNA". It matches the Rfam family "Bacterial small subunit ribosomal RNA", at positions 29 to 507 of the family's 1533-position model. The record is from RNAcentral.
AGUGAACGCUGGCGGUAGGCCUAACACAUGCAAGUCGAACGGCAGCACAGUAAGGGCUUGCUCUUACGGGUGGCGAGUGGCGGACGGGUGAGGAAUACAUCGGAAUCUACUUUUUCGUGGGGGAUAACGUAGGGAAACUUACGCUAAUACCUCAUACGACCUACGGGUUAAAGCAGGGGAUCUUCGGACCUUGCGCGAUUGAAUGAGCCGAUGUCGGAUUAGCUAGUUGGCGAGGUAAAGGCCCACCAAGGCAACGAUCCGUAGCUGGUCUGAGAGGAUGAUCGGCCACACUGGAACUGAGACACGGUCCAGACUCCUACGGGAGGCAGCAGUGGGGAAUAUUGCACAAUGGGCGCAAGCCUGAUCCAGCCACACCGCGUGGGUGAAGAAGGCCUUCGGGUUGUAAAGCCCUUUUGUUGGGAAAGAAAAGCAGCAGGAUAAUCCCCCGCUGUUCUGACGGUACCCAAAGAAUAAGCACCGGCUAACUUCGUG